Molecule: ribosomal RNA, 253 nt
Filed under: uncultured bacterium
Lineage: Bacteria
Description: partial 16S ribosomal RNA
Rfam family: Bacterial small subunit ribosomal RNA
Source: RNAcentral
UACAGAGCGCACGGGUGUUAUUCGUUUUGAUUGGGUGUAAAGGGUGCGUAGGCGGGUCUUUAAGUCAGGGGGGAAAUCCUGGAGCUCAACUCCAGAACUGCCUUUGAUACUGAAGAUCUUGAGUUCGGGAGAGGUGAGUGGAACUGCGAGUGUAGAGGUGAAAUUCGUAGAUAUUCGCAAGAACACCAGUGGCGAAGGCGGCUCACUGGCCCGAUACUGACGCUGAGGCACGAAAGCGUGGGGAGCAAACAGG